CACGUAGUUGGCCGGUGCUUCUUCUGCAGGUACCGUCACCUCACGGCUUCGUCCCUGCUGAAAGAGGUUUACAACCCGAAGGCCGUCAUCCCCCACGCGGCGUCGCUGCGUCAGGCUUCCGCCCAUUGCGCAAUAUUCCCCACUGCUGCCUCCCGUAGGAGUCUGGGCCGUGUCUCAGUCCCAGUGUGGCCGGUCACCCUCUCAGGCCGGCUACCCGUCGUCGCCUUGGUAGGCCACUACCCCACCAACAAGCUGAUAGGCCGCGGGCCCAUCCCCAGCCGAAAAACUUUCCACCACUCCCCAUGCGGACAGCGGUCAUAUCCGGUAUUAGCCCCAAUUUCUUGGAGUUAUCCCAGAGCCGGGGGCAGGUUGCCCACGUGUUACUCACCCGUUCGCCACUAGAACACCCACCCGAAGGCAGGGUCUCGUUCGACUUGCAUGUGUUAAGCACGCCGCCAGCGUUCGUCCUGAGCCAGGAUCAAACUCU
RNAcentral lists this ribosomal RNA (487 nucleotides) under uncultured Geodermatophilaceae bacterium. Its description in RNAcentral is "partial 16S ribosomal RNA". Lineage: Bacteria; Bacillati; Actinomycetota; Actinomycetes; Geodermatophilales; Geodermatophilaceae. The record is from RNAcentral.